UGAACGCUAGCGGGAUGCCUUACACAUGCAAGUCGAACGGCAGCACGGACUUCGGUCUGGUGGCGAGUGGCGAACGGGUGAGUAAUGUAUCGGAACGUGCCCAGUAGCGGGGGAUAACUACGCGAAAGCGUAGCUAAUACCGCAUACGCCCUACGGGGGAAAGCAGGGGAUCGCAAGACCUUGCACUAUUGGAGCGGCCGAUAUCGGAUUAGCUAGUUGGUGGGGUAACGGCUCACCAAGGCGACGAUCCGUAGCUGGUUUGAGAGGACGACCAGCCACACUGGGACUGAGACACGGCCCAGACUCCUACGGGAGGCAGCAGUGGGGAAUUUUGGACAAUGGGGGAAACCCUGAUCCAGCCAUCCCGCGUGUGCGAUGAAGGCCUUCGGGUUGUAAAGCACUUUUGGCAGGAAAGAAACGUCGUGGGUUAAUACCCCGCGAAAC
RNAcentral lists this ribosomal RNA (444 nucleotides) under Achromobacter dolens. RNAcentral describes it as "bacterial SSU rRNA". It matches the Rfam family "Bacterial small subunit ribosomal RNA", at positions 30 to 473 of the family's 1533-position model. The record is from RNAcentral. Lineage: Bacteria; Pseudomonadati; Pseudomonadota; Betaproteobacteria; Burkholderiales; Alcaligenaceae.